RNAcentral lists this transfer RNA (73 nucleotides) under Bos taurus (domestic cattle). It matches the Rfam family "tRNA". From Rfam's summary of the family: Transfer RNA (tRNA) molecules are approximately 80 nucleotides in length. Their secondary structure includes four short double-helical elements and three loops (D, anti-codon, and T loops). The record is from Rfam by way of RNAcentral. Lineage: Eukaryota; Metazoa; Chordata; Mammalia; Artiodactyla; Bovidae. RNAcentral also lists the same sequence under 5 other names.
CCCCUGGUGGUCCAGUAGCUAAGACUCUGAACUCCCAAUACAGGGUGCCCAGGUUCGAUCCCUGGUCAGGGAA